RNAcentral lists this ribosomal RNA (482 nucleotides) under uncultured bacterium. Its description in RNAcentral is "partial 16S ribosomal RNA". It matches the Rfam family "Bacterial small subunit ribosomal RNA", at positions 355 to 827 of the family's 1533-position model. The record is from RNAcentral.
UGGGGAAUUUUGGACAAUGGGGGCAACCUGAUCCAGCAAUGCCGCGUGUGUGAAGAAGGCCUUCGGGUUGUAAAGCACUUUUGUCCGGAAAGAAAACGUCGUGGUUAAUACCCGUGGCGGCUGACGGUACCGGAAGAAUAAGCACCGGCUAACUACGUGCCAGCAGCCGCGGUAAUACGUAGGGUGCAAGCGUUAAUCGGAAUUACUGGGCGUAAAGCGUGCGCAGGCGGUCCGCUAAGACAGAUGUGAAAUCCCCGGGCUUAACCUGGGAACUGCAUUUGUGACUGGCGGGCUAGAGUAUGGCAGAGGGGGGUUAGAAUUCCACGUGUAGCAGUGAAAUGCGUAGAGAUGUGGAGGAAUACCGAUGGCGAAGGCAGCCCCCUUGGGCCAAUACUGACGCUCAUGCACGAAAGCGUGGGGGAGCAAACAGGAUUAGAUACCCUGGUAGUCCACGCCCUAAACGAUGUCAACUAGUUGUCGGG